AUUGAACGCUGGCGGCAUGCCUUACACAUGCAAGUCGAACGGGCCAGCACGGGGGCAACCCCUGGUGGGCGAGUGGCGAACGGGGUCGAGUAAUAUAUCGGAACGUACCCUGGAGUGGGGGAUAACGUAGCGAAAGUUACGCUAAUACCGCAUACGAUCUAAGGAUGAAAGUGGGGGAUCGCAAGACCUCAUGCUCCCGGAGCGGCCGAUAUCUGAUUAGCUAGUUGGUGGGGUAAAGGCCUACCAAGGCAUCGAUCAGUAGCUGGUCUGAGAGGACGACCAGCCACACUGGGACUGAGACACGGCCCAGACUCCUACGGGAGGCAGCAGUGGGGAAUUUUGGACAAUGGGGG
Molecule: ribosomal RNA, 353 nt
Filed under: uncultured bacterium
Lineage: Bacteria
Description: bacterial SSU rRNA
Rfam family: Bacterial small subunit ribosomal RNA
Source: RNAcentral